CGCGUAGGUGGGACAGCAAGUCUGGGGUGCAAUCUUACGGCUUAACUGUAAACUUGCCCUGGAUACUACUGUUCUUGAGUUCGGAAGAGGGUAGUGGAAUUCCUGGUGUAGCGGUGAAAUGCGUAGAUAUCAGGAAGAACACCGGUGGCGAAGGCGGCUACCUGGUCCGAUACUGACACUGAGGCGCGAAAGUGCGGGGAGCAAACA
This 207-nucleotide ribosomal RNA is filed under the name uncultured bacterium. RNAcentral's name for it is "partial 16S ribosomal RNA". It matches the Rfam family "Bacterial small subunit ribosomal RNA", at positions 568 to 774 of the family's 1533-position model. The record is from RNAcentral.